This 278-nucleotide long non-coding RNA is filed under the name Elaeis guineensis (African oil palm). RNAcentral's name for it is "long non-coding RNA (EGUI_LNC078731)". The record is from RNAcentral. Lineage: Eukaryota; Viridiplantae; Streptophyta; Magnoliopsida; Arecales; Arecaceae.
CGGGCUCGACGUCAGAGGGGGCAUCGAUGGCAACGACCACCUGGGUAGGCACGGUCGAGCUCGUCUCCCCUACCCUUGCCUUCUUCGCCGACCCGGAGGUCGCGACGCCUUUCCUUUUGUGGGCCUUGAGAUCCUGGGCUAGCAUUCGAGCUGUGUUAGCAUCCAUAUCUGCAAUGAAAGAGGAUCGCCACAGCUUAGAAAAAGAAUAAGAAGAAAGGGGAACAACGAAUGACUAAAAAAAAAAUACCGGCAGGGUUGAGAGGGCUUAGGCCGACGUU